Molecule: long non-coding RNA, 3043 nt
Organism: Vespula vulgaris
Lineage: Eukaryota; Metazoa; Arthropoda; Insecta; Hymenoptera; Vespidae
Exons: 3
Source: RefSeq, a predicted model, not a curated record
CGACACAUGGAAUGUAGACAUGCACCUUUCAAGAAGGCAACUUGGCUCAUGGAUAUGACAUGUAUCCGCGUAGCGGAUACCACUAAACAAGAGUCACGGAAAGCUGAGAUAGAAGAGCGAGACAGCGAUAAAAUGGGUUACUUGGAAAGAUAAUUGAUGGAAUUAAAGACGUUCGAUGGUAUUGGAGGCCUCUGCCCGGUAAUAUGGUCAUGGUCAUCCAGGCGAAUCACCCCAGGGCCUUAUUCUGUACCUGACUUAGCUUGACUCACACAACUUCAGUGGUUCUCUAUUAAUGGGCAUACGUCUGAAGGUAAUUUUUAUAAAUAAAAUAUAAUACAUUAUACAUUUGGUAAAAUUAACAUAAAAAUUUAGGAUAAAAAUUGUAAAGAUUUCUACGUACUAAAUGCGUUUUAAAUGACACGUAAGUAAAUUUACAAAUUGACAGCUUAAUCGUAUACGAGUGCUAUUAACAAUUAUAUAUUAGUCCUGUAAAAAAAAAGACGAAAGAAAAAUGUAAAUGAAAAGAAGAAGAUAAGAAAAAGAAGAAGAAAAAAAAGAAGAAGAAAAGAAAAAGGAGAAAAAGAACAGGAAGAAAAAGAAGAAAAGAAGAAGAAGAAGAAGAAAAGAAAAAAAGAUUUACAAACAUUACUGUCAAUGAAUAUAAUCUGAAUAACCGGCUGCCCUGACCUAGUUCCGAUCGUAACUCCUAUCUCCGGCAAAGAGAAUAAGAGACGGUGUCCUGAAGUAGUGAAAAUUGCCGCAGGGAAUCGCCGCCCUCCGAGAACCACAUGCGUAUUAACAAUAAAAGAGAGAGAGAGAGAGAGAGAGAGAGAGAGAGAGAGAGAGAGAGAGAAAGAGAGAGAAUCCGUAAUAUAUUACGUUGUCUUGACUAGCGUUUAUCAACUUCUGUAUUAUAUUUAUAAACUUUGCGCAUUUUUGAUAGAUAAUUACAAAAAAAUAGAGAAACAAAUUUGAAAAUUAAUCAAACGUUCGUAUAUUUUUAUAAGUAAAUAAACAAUCGCACAAAAGAAAAGUUUUAAAUAUUAAUGGUGGUAUGAUAUCACACGUUGCGUAUAAUAAUCAAACGAAUGAAUUAUUAGUGAUGAAUAUUUAAUAAACAAUGCAGAAAGUCUUAUUUUGUAAUCAAUAUGUAGAAUCGAUAAGCUUCGGGAUCGAAAGUUCAUGAUCUAACUAGUUUCAGUAGAGAUGGUCAACGACUCUGAUCACUGAACAGCGAGACUGCGUCUAUUUCUACCUGAUAGCGAUGGCGGAUAUUGUAUUAUGUUACGACGAGACAGAGGAGGUUGCGUAGCCAAUGAUGCGAGAUGGUGAAGUGCGAGGUCAUCUCCACGGACUCUCCUUCAACGAUUCAACUCGUGCACUUGUCUGCUAUAAAUGCAGACCUUGUUGAAUAAAAAGGACUGAGAAAAGAUACGCAAGGACAUACGUACGAGAGAGAAAAUUAAUUCUACUCGUAAAUGGUACUUCCGAGAAUUUCUAUUAAAUUUGCAAGAUGAUUUUCUUAUAUUUUAAUUUUCAGUAACAUCAAUUCCUCCACGAUUUACACAUGACGAUUAUUAUUCUUUUUUUUUUCUUUUUGAACGGAUCCUCGUAAACUAUAAUCUCGACGAAAAUACAUACGAAGAUAAAACAAUACAGAUCUGAAAUAAUUUUAUCGAAAGUUAACGAGUAAGUUUCAAACGAAACAAAGAAUCCACAUUUUAGUGCUUCGAUCCUUCGGAAUAAUUCUUACGUAAUAUACGAAGCCAUAUAUAAGAGAGACAACACAUAUCGAUGAGUCAAAUGCUUUUACGUAAAUGUUAAAGCCAAUUUUUGUAGUAUACUGCUCUUAUUUCACGAGUAUGUAGAUAUUCGACAUUCUUUUUAUUUAUUAAAAUAAUUCCAACGUGACAGAUCAUAAACCGUGACUCGAUUUAACUUUAUUGCUUUCCAAAUAUAUGACUUAUUAGGUAACAACAUGACUUAUUGAUCAUAAACACAAAACAUAAACGUGAUAAGUACGAAAAAGUAAAAACAUUUUGUAGGCUUCGUUAUAAAGAUUAUGAUAUUAAAUAUGGUAUUAUUCAAAUAACACGGACGUCACAACAUACAACAACAAUCGAUUACUCACGCAUUAAUGUAAAGAAGUAUCCAAUAAAGAAAAGCCGCUUGAUUUAAUUAUAUAAUAUGUAACAGAAUAAAUUUUAUUAAGAAGUUCAUAUUCUUAUGUUUUGUCGAACGUUAUACGUUAUAUUAUAAUGCAUAGAAAGUUAUAUGUAUCAGAAUAAUAGAGUGAAAAAGAAAAAAAAGGAGAAGGAAAGAAACCCAUAGUAAGAACCCUUUCGAUAGUGCUACGAUGAAUCUUAUGUAUCUCUGUCCUUUCUCACAGCUCAUAUGGGCAUACAUCGUACCGGCCGCACUUGACCUAUAUCUUAUUAUGCUGGUAGUGUCCGAAUGCAAUGCGCAAAGUGUUUGUGAAUAAGCCCAGGGGGCCCCUCUUCGAGGUUAUCAAGGUUCACCACCACCAUAAAAACAUCUUUCCUUCCUGCUGUCGUAUUCUCUUUCCUCUUGCUUCCGCAAGAUACGAAAAGAAUCACGACUCGAUAAUACUAAAGCCAAUAUACGAUUUUAUAAUUUUCAUACAUAUAUAUUGGAUAGAAAAUUAUUUUUAAUUAUAUCGUUUUCCGUGAUUUUUAUGCAAAACGUCUCUCUCUCUCUCUCUCUCUCUCUCUCUCUCUCUCUGUGCAAUGUUUAUAAAAAAUCUUUAUCUACACACAAAUCGUAUACAUACGUGUAUGUCUGUGCCUUCAUACAAAGAUAAAUGUGAAACUUUGAAAUCAUAUUUUUUGUCUUUUUUUUUCUUUCUUAGAAGAAGAAAAUUAUUCAACUAGAUAUAGAUAAAUCUUAAUUGGCAUGAUGUAUCCACGUGUCUAUCGAAGUCCGGUUAGACACCUUCGACUGCUACCAAGUCUUCCGUUCUUCGAUGUCAUUUAGGAAGGUCAUGACCUCAGGGUAGCUUUACCAUCGUAUAGACUACGAUUGC